Molecule: non-coding RNA, 1494 nt
Organism: Parasteatoda tepidariorum (common house spider)
Lineage: Eukaryota; Metazoa; Arthropoda; Arachnida; Araneae; Theridiidae
Source: RefSeq, a predicted model, not a curated record
CAAACAGAGUACAGUUAAAGUUAUUCUAAAAGUUUGCUUAAAAAAGGUUACCCUUUUGAUGGUUUAAAUUUAUGUAUCUAAAAUAAAUGAGGCAGAACAAAUUAAAUAGUUCGGGGAAUACAGCUGAUUUAAUGCUAUAAAGAAACAAUGAUAAUUCAGAGAAGUUUUGUUUGGGCACUUAUGAUUGAAUAUAUUUGGAAGAAGUAUUCAAAGAGCUGCAGAAGGAAACGAUCAGGUGAAGAAUCGUAUUCAUUAUGAAAAAAUAUUUCCUAAACGUAAUCUCUAAAAAAUCAAGAUCAAAGGAGGGACUGAAUAGUUGAUGAUGAUUUGGAUUAAUUUCGAAAAGGAGAAUUGGAAAAAGGAUGGGUAAAGUAGUCUGUAGGAAAAUGUUUAUUUCCUAAAAGCACGAGUAUUUCUCAUUUGCAAACAGUGUACAGAAGUAGAUUGCUUAAAGUGAAAUGCAAGCUGGAAUUGUGUAGCUUAAAAAAGAGCAUUUCAGGACGUAUUGAAAAUGUUUACUUUUCAAAAUCUACGUCAUUUAUUUUGACUCAAAACUUGUUUGGUAUAGUAUUGCAGGGGUCUUCAAACUUUUUAGCUUAACUAUCACAAUGAGACAUAUACUGAUUCUUGAUCUCAAGACCUAGCCAGCUAAGCCGAUAUAGUCGGGAUUGGUCCCCCUCUACCCAAACUUAAACAUUUAAAAAACAUUGCUCAACUUGGAUUUUUUAAGGAGCUUUGUUUAUCUUUCCACCUGAUUCAUGGUAAGACUUCUUGACUCAUUUAGCUACUAGUUAGCUCAGAGGUUUUCAACUUAUAAAAGUCCGGGAGCCGCAAUCAAAACCACCCAUGGUGGACCACCAUUUAGAAGUUCAUAUUCAAGAUAUUUUUCGAAGCUGGGCUACAAUCGUGGUCAGCCCAAUUUUCAUGAAGUUAAAGUAAAAAAAAAUAACUAUCAGAUAAUGAAUAAAACAGGAAGUGAGCACUCUAACACUUUUAAUGGCAUUUUCUUUAAAGAAUAAAUUCAAACGAAAAUAAUGUUACUUUGAGAACAAAUGUGAAUAUUAUUUUUAAUUCAAAUGUUUAAAAUUUAAAUGAAAGCUUAUUCAUAUGUUUAAGUUUGAAACAUUAUCACGAUAAACUGCGGUAAACUAGAAAUCUGGCAGGCUUGCUCCGGUGGUCCUGAUUAGUGAUAAUGACGGGCCGUACUUUGGAGACCCCUGAUGUAUUUAAAAUGUCUGUUUAUAAAAAAAUAUGCUAUAUUUUAUGUGGAUGCGCAAGUUGUGUGGCCAAGUAUUUCUGGAUUUAUUGAAAAUGUCUAUUGAUUGAAACAUGCAUAAUUUAUGCAAAUGUGCAACCUAUAGACGAAACAUUUCAGGUUUCACUGAUGAUGGAUAGAAGUUUAAAUAUCUAAGUGUAAGUCGUGGCAAUAUGUAACUGAAGUAAAACUGUACUGCUUGAUUUUCUAAAUGUUUAUCUUGAAUAAAGCAAGUUUAC